Molecule: ribosomal RNA, 253 nt
Filed under: uncultured bacterium
Lineage: Bacteria
Description: partial 16S ribosomal RNA
Rfam family: Bacterial small subunit ribosomal RNA
Source: RNAcentral
UACGUAGGGGGCAAGCGUUGUCCGGAAUCAUUGGGCGUAAAGAGCGUGUAGGCGGCUCGGUAAGUCCGCUGUGAAAGUCCAGGGCUCAACCCUGGAAUGCCGGUGGAAACUGUCGAGCUAGAGUCCGGAAGAGGCGAGUGGAAUUCCUGGUGUAGCGGUGAAAUGCGCAGAUAUCAGGAAGAACACCCGUGGCGAAGGCGGUUCUCUGGGACGGUACUGACGCUGAGACGCGAAAGCGUGGGGAGCGAACAGG